This 213-nucleotide long non-coding RNA is filed under the name Mytilus galloprovincialis (Mediterranean mussel). The record is from RNAcentral. Lineage: Eukaryota; Metazoa; Mollusca; Bivalvia; Mytilida; Mytilidae.
UUUUUUUUGUGUGCAGAAUUUGGUGUUGAUAGGAAUUAGAUAAGUUCUCGUUUGGAUAUAUUCUUUUAUGUCUACACUGAAAUGAUUUGAAAGCUUGAUCUAUGCUGUAGACACUUUCCUAUUGUUGAAGACAGUAUGUUGACCUGUAAAUGUCUUUUUGUAUUUAUGUCAAAGGGUUGAUGUCUCAUUGACGUAUAUCCACAUCCUAUUUUA